UCGGUCUUCCAGCCUCUGGAUUUACAGCGAGACUCCAGGAAAACCCUCCUGCCUGCUUAUCUGUGCCAUGGGCGAGGGCUUCCUUCCCGGUUUAUCGUUAGAGCCUGCCUUCCUCCAGAGAGCUGGUUGGAGCAGCCACCCUCUGUUCCCCGCUAGACAUCUGGACGCUGCCCGAGAUGAGCUCUCUUUUUGUGCGGAGCGUGGAAAUUGAGAUAGCCAACAAAACCCGGAAUGUGACCCUGCAUACCCCCAGGAGCUACUGCUACAGUGGCUACAGCUAUAUACCACCCAGUCCCAAGAUCCCCCCUGGUGCCACGGAGAGCUGCCAAUUUGCUAAUGUAGCGCUCAGCUUCCGGGGGAGCGUGGGGAUCCUGGUGUAUGAGGCAGACACCUUCACACUGGCCAUCCUCUUCUCCAACCCCUAUGACUACAACAUUUUCUAUAUGGAGGUUGCCYUGGAGAUCUCCAUGGAAAAAGCCCACCUCGGCAACUUGGAGGAUGUCUACAAGAGGAUGUACAACAGCGUGCCCACUGGCAACGUUAAUGGCACCACCUUCCAGCGAGCCAAACUCCAUGCAUGCCAGGAGACCCUCAUGGUCUCCGCCAACCAUGUGCAGGUCAUGGCCACCAUGUCCAGCGCUGCUAACUCAGUCCUGAAAGUAAUUGUGGAGGAUAAAGAUAGUCCCCCCCCAUAUUCAGAGCAAGCACCACCUGGUAGCCUUGGGCAGUAUCAGCCUCGGCCGAAGAAUUGGAAGAACCUGCUCAAAGGCAAGACGGGCAGGUGAUAGUGCUCUCUGUUUUGGUUCUUGCUUGCUUUAGAUGCCAGGCAACAUGUGCUUCCUUCAAUAAAGGCUAAAGCCAAGUAUCCA
RNAcentral lists this long non-coding RNA (869 nucleotides) under Apteryx haastii (Great spotted kiwi). Its description in RNAcentral is "lncRNA (ENSAHAG00000019620.1)". Lineage: Eukaryota; Metazoa; Chordata; Aves; Apterygiformes; Apterygidae. The record is from RNAcentral.